This 77-nucleotide transfer RNA is filed under the name Deltaproteobacteria bacterium. RNAcentral describes it as "tRNA-Ile". It matches the Rfam family "tRNA". From Rfam's summary of the family: Transfer RNA (tRNA) molecules are approximately 80 nucleotides in length. Lineage: Bacteria; Pseudomonadati; Myxococcota; Myxococcia. The record is from RNAcentral.
GGGCCUAUAGCUCAGCUGGUUAGAGCGUCCGACUCAUAAUCGGAUGGUCCCUGGUUCAAAUCCAGGUGGGCCCACCA